RNAcentral lists this ribosomal RNA (890 nucleotides) under uncultured bacterium. RNAcentral describes it as "bacterial SSU rRNA". It matches the Rfam family "Bacterial small subunit ribosomal RNA", at positions 8 to 916 of the family's 1533-position model. The record is from RNAcentral.
AGAGUUUGAUCCUGGCUCAGGAUGAACGCUGGCGGCGUGCUUAAUACAUGCAAGUCGAACGGAGAUAGUAGCAAUAUUAUCUUAGUGGCGAACGGGUGAGUAACGCGUUGGUGACCUGCCCCGAAGAGAGGGAUAGCAGUUCGAAAGGACUGAUAAUACCUCAUGUGGUUGAUGGUUUUAGAAUCUGUCAACUAAACGGAUUUAUUCGCUUCGGGAGGGGCCUGCGUCCCAUCAGCUAGUUGGUAAGGUAAUGGCUUACCAAGGCUAUGACGGGUAGGGGACCUGAGAGGGUGGCCCCCCACAAUGGAACUGAAACACGGUCCAUACACCUACGGGUGGCAGCAGUAGGGAAUAUUGGUAAUGUGCGAAAGCGCGAACCAGCAACGCCGCGUGCGCGAUGAAGGCCUUCGGGUUGUAAAGCGCUUUUAGAGAGGAUGAGGAAGGACAGUACUUUCUGAAUAAGCCUCGGCUAACUACGUGCCAGCAGCCGCGGUAAAACGUAGGAGGCUAGCGUUAUCCGGAUUUACUGGGCGUAAAGCGCGUGCAGGUGGUCUCGCAAGUUGGAUGUGAAAGCUCCUGGCUUAACUGGGAGAGGUCGUUCAAAACUGCGAGACUUGAGAUUGGUAGAGGGAGGUGGAAUUCCGGGUGUAGUGGUGAAAUGCGUAGAUAUCCGGAGGAACACCAGUGGCGAAAGCGGCCUCCUGGACCAAUUCUGACACUCAGACGCGAAAGCUAAGGUAGCAAACGGGAUUAGAGACCCCGGUAGUCUUAGCUGUAAACUAUGUGAACUUGGCGUCGGUGGGUUUAAAUCCAUCGGUGCCGAAGCUAACGCGAUAAGUUCACCGCCUGGGGACUACGGCCGCAAGGUUAAAACUCAAAGGAAUUGACGG